Bubalus bubalis (water buffalo) is the source of this 410-nucleotide long non-coding RNA. RefSeq lists it as uncharacterized. The transcript is spliced from 3 exons. Lineage: Eukaryota; Metazoa; Chordata; Mammalia; Artiodactyla; Bovidae. The record is from RefSeq and is a predicted model, not a curated record.
GUUUCAAAAACCACAAAACAACAACAACGUCCGGAACCUCUACUGCACUGACAUUCUCAAAGCCACUAGUUAGCAAACUAAGCUGGCAUCAUUUCUACAUUCAGAAGUAGGAACACUGAAGUUUAGAAGCUCCCCCAGCAAGCCGUAUGCCAAGGAGCCUUUCCUCCAGCCCCGAUAGCAAGCGAGAGCCACGUUUCCCUGCCCGAGUUUGGAGUUUUGAGCAAACUGAGCCCCCAAGCCCAACUUCCACCCGUGUCCGGUCCGGGUUCGGCACGCAAGUUACCUGCCUGGAAUCCACGGUUCCAGGACGACCACGGACGCUCCGCCCCGCCCAUCGCGACGCCCUCCACAACCAGACACUUUUAUGAGCAGCUUUUCUCCUCAAAUGUCAGCCAACUUCCCUGUGAAGU